Molecule: non-coding RNA, 212 nt
Organism: Cinara cedri
Lineage: Eukaryota; Metazoa; Arthropoda; Insecta; Hemiptera; Aphididae
Source: the annotation of a GenBank genome assembly
CGUAAAACUUCCUGUUCUCACGGUUCACCCAUUUGUUAUGAAAACUCUUUUCAAAAAAGGUGCUUAACUUGAACAAUGGAAAAAAUAUUUAAAUAAAUAAAUAAACAUCUUUGUAAAACCUAUAUAAUGCUCGUUCCACUCAAAAUCUAAAAACUAAUGAAUAUGCUAGAAAUGAGUCCAGAAAUGGACAGUAUAAGUUUUAUUUCCAAGUU